AGGUAAAAUUUGGUUAAUAGAAGCAUUGUCAGGGUGAUUUUUACUCUGUAUAGCAUUACUAUUUGGUAGACUAAAUUGGAGGUUCAUUUAAGCAUAAAAAAAGAAUAGAAUGAAGCAAAUAUGAAAUGCGUUGUUUUGCUAGGAAGGUGGUAUUAUCAUAAACUUGGAUAUGUCACUCUGUUUUAUUGUUUAGGCGGAUGGAAGUUUGUGCUUUCAAUAAAGUAAGUUGAUGAAAAGAAGUGUUUAACUAACCAGUGAGAAGGAAAGGACCUUUUGUCUAUAGCAUUAGAACACAGACUAAACUUUUUGCCUUAGCCAACAAAUGAUGUGGUAAAACAAAUUUACAUUAGGAAACUAGAAAACUUAAAGCGCCUAAGAUGCUAUAGUUCCUGUGCAUUCCCAGAUAUUUCAAAAGAACAAUUACAAGCAGAGCUACACCAAAACAGAAACCCGAUUAACUUCGGCUAAUAAUAUAGAUUGAAGAGGGGAAAACAUACCGUACUGAGUCCUGUUGUAGUACCUUGACAUAUUAAGGUCUGAUUUGAAGCUCUAAACUACACAUCCGACUAUUACAACUCCUAAACCACCCCUCUUCCCAUUCCCCUUUUUUAAUAUGAAGAAGAGUUGUAUAAUUUCUAAACUAAAAUGAACAUAAAGAACAAUCAGAGUAAACACAUUGGGGAAAUUAAGCACUUGCAAGUUUGUGUACUUGAUCAGCAAAUAUUUGAGUAUAUGAAACUAAAAGCAAUUACAUUGCAUGAGCUGAUACGUAUGAUCAUAGAGCAGAAUUUUCUGUACUUGUAUGACCCAAAUUGGAAAAAUCAUCAUACAAUAAGCUUAUUUUGUUGAUUUUUAGGGCAGUUGAGGCUUUUUUUCACUUGCAAGGAGGAAAGAAUCUUUUGCUUUGGUUAUUCAAAGGGGACAUUCCCAUAUUUCAUGGUCUUGUAUAGCAGAGUUUCUGCAAUUACUAACUAGAUCUUUUCAAUGAGAACUACAUUUCUCCCAUCUUUUUUUCUUUUUUAAGUCUUGAUCAUAAGAACUUUGCCUAGGAUAGACACUAUGUUGAAGAAUCCUACAACAUCAUACCUUACAUAAAGAGGCUACAAUAUCAUACCAUGUUUAUGAGAAAAUAGCCAAAAGCCCCCUAAUCUAUAUCCAAAUUUUUAACUACACACCUUAAUUUUAUGGGAGUCCUAUUACACCCCCCCGAACUAUUUAAAACUGAAAUAAUUACACCCUUAAAAAGCCACAACCACAUCUAUGUUGACCAGUGAAUUGCACGCAUUUGGCAUGUGGAAAUUUGAUUAAUUUAUUUUUUAAAAGUUUUUUUAAAUAAUUUUUCCCCUUUCUCCUAUAUUUCCCCCAUUUAUUCAAAUCCCUAAAGUAAUUGCACCAUUAAUGUAAACAUCAACGUCCAUCGGAGUUGGCUUGUGAGGAACAAAGAUGAAUAGUGAUGGUAGAGCUCGUCGUGCGAUAUUCAAGCUUUGCUCGCCAGAGAACCUGAACGACAAACUAAAAAAAAGUGAGGGAGAAGGAAAGAGAGAGGACGAAUGGAGGAGUGGGAUUGCCAUUAAUGGAGGUCAACUGAGACGAGUACUCCUCUUAGGGAAGAUGAGGAAGAGCCGAUGAUGCAUUUCAUGUCAUUGUCAGCGGCGUCAAAUUUGAAGAGAAAAAAGUUAUUCACCAUCGAUUGAACAAUUAAUGAGAUUGAUAACAUGUGGAUCCUGAGAUGUAGUUGAUUGAUUGAGAUUUGAGAAAAGAAAAAAAUUCUCUUUUGGGGUUCAAUUGGAUUUGAUGUAAACCCAAUUUGAUUUUUUUCAAAUCUGAUCAAAUCCUUCUAGGGUGAUAUAAAUACAUGUCAUUUUAUCUAUAAUUGAUUUGAUUGAUUUUACAAGCUUUUUACACGAGAGUUUAAAAACUCGUGUGAAAUCAACAACGGUGAAGAUGGUGGUGACAGUGGCGAUUUAGAGAUGGUGAAUGGUGAAGGAAUUUGGUCUUUGUUGCUAUGAAGAAGAAAGACAAUAAAUUAAAAAUAAUAAUUAAAAUACAUAUAUUUAUGAAAAGAGAUAUUGAAAAUAAAGUUUUAAUAUUUGUUUUUUUUUUGCUCACUCUGAAAUACACUCACCUUGCCAGCUAAGCAUUUAGGGAGAUAACAAUUUUAGUUUUAAACACUCUAGGAGGGUAAUAGGACUCCCGUGAAGUUAGAGUUGUAGUUGGAAAUCCGGAUAUAGGUUAGGGGGGCUUUUGGAUAUUUUCUCCCAUUUUUAUCCUAGGUUUUGAGGCAGAGACCUAGCCUUAGAAUUGGCAAAGUGUGGCCUCUGCAUCAUCGGCUGUGCUUUUUCAGGACAAACUCAAUGCCCUUGCCCUUGUGUUGGAAAUGUCAUUGACCUUCAUUGAUAAUCUUAUUUUUUCUUCUGGCACUUUGGAAGUUUGGGAUUAUGAUGCAGUUGUAUAUAUGGAAACAGACAGAGUGUUGUUGAUGUAGAUGAGUACAAUAAAAUGAAGAAAGUUGACCCAGAAUUUUAUUGAGAAGCUUCUAGUCUCCAGUAUAGGAAGGAUGAUUAUGUUCCAUAUCAUUCUUCAAGAAUUGCCAAGCAUCUUCAGGGACAACUCAAAAAAGGGGAAAGUAUUUAGAGAGAUGCUGAAUGAUUGCUUGGACCUAAUACGUUCUCAGUCAUAUUCUAAACAUCGAGUGUUCGUGAGGUGUAAUGUCAACUUUGACACAACAUUGCAAGGAAGGAAUUGAAAGGGUGUCAUAUAGAGUUCAUGGAGUCGGACACAUUUGUCCAAAUCAUAAUGUGGUCAUUUGCUAGUUGUUUACAUGACUUGUGGGUUGAUCAAUUUCUUCAUUGCAACAACACUCUCAUCUUCUGGAGCCUGCCUACUGCUCGAACCUUAAAUUUUAUGCCUAAAAUGACGACGACUCUAGGAUGCCAAGGCCUCGACACACUCCGUGACCAUGAAUAUGCCUGUUGUGGUAAGUCAUUUGUUGCAAGCUGGUUUUGGUGUAGCUACUCAACCUAGAUGUGUUAUAACUCAAAAGCUUAGUUACAAUGAUACAUAAGGACGGAAAGGUAACGACUAGUCUGCGUUUAGUGGAGAUCACAAUAUUUUUGGACUUUGAAUUCCUAAUAUCAGUAGAUUGUGCAGUAAAUUGAAUUAUCGGGUACAAUGAAGAUCAGCUGUAACUUUAGUUUUAAUUUUAUCUAAGUAGACUCUGGGCACGACUAUAUUACCUGCCUUUAUUGGAAUCUAUUUGUAUGUGUUCAAAUGCUAGUAUGAAUGUAUAUCUUAAUUUAUC
RNA transcript from Solanum dulcamara, 3301 nucleotides. It is a transcript of the gene named auxin response factor 3-like, with no coding region annotated. The record is from RefSeq and is a predicted model, not a curated record. Lineage: Eukaryota; Viridiplantae; Streptophyta; Magnoliopsida; Solanales; Solanaceae. The transcript is spliced from 3 exons.